GGGUCGGUGUCCGAGUGGUUAAAGGAGGCGGAUUGUAAAUCCGUUGCAGUAUUGCUACGUUGGUUCGAAUCCAACCCGGCCCA
This 83-nucleotide transfer RNA is filed under the name Nitzschia supralitorea. RNAcentral's name for it is "tRNA-Tyr". It matches the Rfam family "tRNA". From Rfam's summary of the family: Transfer RNA (tRNA) molecules are approximately 80 nucleotides in length. Their secondary structure includes four short double-helical elements and three loops (D, anti-codon, and T loops). Further hydrogen bonds mediate the characteristic L-shaped molecular structure. tRNAs have two regions of fundamental functional importance: the anti-codon, which is responsible for specific mRNA codon recognition, and the 3' end, to which the tRNAs corresponding amino acid is attached (by aminoacyl-tRNA synthetases). tRNAs cope with the degeneracy of the genetic code in two manners: having more than one tRNA (with a specific anti-codon) for a particular amino acid; and 'wobble' base-pairing, i.e. permitting non-standard base-pairing at the 3rd anti-codon position. Lineage: Eukaryota; Bacillariophyta; Bacillariophyceae; Bacillariales; Bacillariaceae. The record is from RNAcentral.